GCCAGUGUGAUGUAGUGGUUUGAGUGUUGGACUACAAUUCUGGAGACCAGGCUUCUAGGGUUCGAUUCCCAGCUUGGCCA
Molecule: non-coding RNA, 80 nt
Organism: Phrynosoma platyrhinos (Desert horned lizard)
Lineage: Eukaryota; Metazoa; Chordata; Lepidosauria; Squamata; Phrynosomatidae
Source: the annotation of a GenBank genome assembly